This 252-nucleotide long non-coding RNA is filed under the name Vombatus ursinus (common wombat). RNAcentral's name for it is "lncRNA (ENSVURG00010020334.1)". The record is from RNAcentral. Lineage: Eukaryota; Metazoa; Chordata; Mammalia; Diprotodontia; Vombatidae.
GGCGGUGUAAAGGCGGCGGACGGGCCGGAGGGAGGAUGUUAAAGCCCCGCGAUCAGCCAAAAUGGGAAGUACUGGAUUCUGCUCUCCUCCAAGAAGAGUCAGUGGGACUGGUUAAGAUCAGUAUCUGAGGAUUUUACCAGCAAUCAUCAGUCCCCUUUUGCUUUCUUUUACGACCACAUGAAACUUGAGAAGCCAUCUAAAGCUAAAUCAUUUAGUGGAGUUGGGCAGUUCCCAAGUGUCCAACAAGAAGGC